GUAGUUAGCCGGGGCUUCCUCCUUGGCUACCGUCACUUCCUUCGUCACCAAGGACAGAGGUUUACAACCCGAAAGCCUUCUUCCCUCACGCGGCGUUGCUGGGUCAGGCUUGCGCCCAUUGCCCAAUAUUCCCCACUGCUGCCUCCCGUAGGAGUCUGGACCGUGUCUCAGUUCCAGUGUGGCCGAUCAGCCUCUCAGCUCGGCUACCCAUCGCUGACUUGGUGGGCCGUUACCCCGCCAACUAUCUAAUGGGACGCGAACCCCUCCUUCUGCGGAUUGCUCCUUUGACCUCUGAACCAUGCGGCUCUGUGGUCUUAUGCGGUAUUAGCACUUGUUUCCAGGUGUUAUCCCCCUCAAAAGGGCAGGUUGUUCACGCGUUACUCACCCGUUCGCCACUAACUACAAAUCCGAAAACCUGUAGUCCGUUCGACUUGCAUGUGUUAGGCACGCCGCCAGCGUUCGUCCUGAGCCAGGAUCAAACUACUGA
RNAcentral lists this ribosomal RNA (487 nucleotides) under uncultured bacterium. RNAcentral describes it as "partial 16S ribosomal RNA". The record is from RNAcentral.